CCUACGGGAGGCAGCAGUGAGGAAUAUUGCUCAAUGGCCGAGAGGCUGAAGCAGCCAAGUCGCGUGUGUGAAGAAUGUCCUAUGGAUUGUAAACCUCUUUAGUCAGGGAGCAAAGUCUCACACGUGUGGGUGUGGGAGAGUACCUGAAGAACAAGCAUAGGCUAACUCCGUGCCAGCAGCCGCGGUACGAGGGGGGAUGCGAGCGUUAUCGGGAUUUGUUGGGUUGAACGUGUGCGUAGGCGGGUUAUCAAGUCAGCGGUAAAAUCGUGGAGCUCAACUCCAUCCAGCCGUUGAAACUGAUGAUCUUGAGUGUGCGAGAAGUAUGCGGAAUGCGUGGUGUAGCGGUGAAAUGCAUAGAGAUCACGCAGAACUCCGAUUGCGAAGGCAGCAUCCCGGCGCCCGACUGACGCUGAAGUGCGAAAGCGUGGGUAUCGAACAGGAUUAGAUACCCCAGUAGUC
RNAcentral lists this ribosomal RNA (459 nucleotides) under uncultured bacterium. RNAcentral's name for it is "partial 16S ribosomal RNA". It matches the Rfam family "Bacterial small subunit ribosomal RNA", at positions 338 to 795 of the family's 1533-position model. The record is from RNAcentral.